This 85-nucleotide transfer RNA is filed under the name Aminobacter niigataensis. RNAcentral describes it as "tRNA-Leu". It matches the Rfam family "tRNA". From Rfam's summary of the family: Transfer RNA (tRNA) molecules are approximately 80 nucleotides in length. Their secondary structure includes four short double-helical elements and three loops (D, anti-codon, and T loops). Further hydrogen bonds mediate the characteristic L-shaped molecular structure. tRNAs have two regions of fundamental functional importance: the anti-codon, which is responsible for specific mRNA codon recognition, and the 3' end, to which the tRNAs corresponding amino acid is attached (by aminoacyl-tRNA synthetases). tRNAs cope with the degeneracy of the genetic code in two manners: having more than one tRNA (with a specific anti-codon) for a particular amino acid; and 'wobble' base-pairing, i.e. permitting non-standard base-pairing at the 3rd anti-codon position. RNAcentral also lists the same sequence under 11 other names. The record is from RNAcentral. Lineage: Bacteria; Pseudomonadati; Pseudomonadota; Alphaproteobacteria; Hyphomicrobiales; Phyllobacteriaceae.
GCGGACGUGGCGGAACUGGUAGACGCAAGGGACUUAAAAUCCCUCAGCCUCGGCUAUGCGGGUUCGAUCCCCGCCGUCCGCACCA